RNAcentral lists this ribosomal RNA (483 nucleotides) under uncultured bacterium. RNAcentral's name for it is "partial 16S ribosomal RNA". It matches the Rfam family "Bacterial small subunit ribosomal RNA", at positions 30 to 506 of the family's 1533-position model. The record is from RNAcentral.
AUUGAACGCUGGCGGCAGGCCUAACACAUGCAAGUCGAGCGGAUGAAGGGAGCUUGCUCCUGGAUUCAGCGGCGGACGGGUGAGUAAUGCCUAGGAAUCUGCCUGGUAGUGGGGGAUAACGUCCGGAAACGGGCGCUAAUACCGCAUACGUCCUGAGGGAGAAAGUGGGGGAUCUUCGGACCUCACGCUAUCAGAUGAGCCUAGGUCGGAUUAGCUAGUUGGUGGGGUAAAGGCCUACCAAGGCGACGAUCCGUAACUGGUCUGAGAGGAUGAUCAGUCACACUGGAACUGAGACACGGUCCAGACUCCUACGGGAGGCAGCAGUGGGGAAUAUGGGACAAUGGGCGAAAGCCUGAUCCAGCCAUGCCGCGUGUGUGAAGAAGGUCUUCGGAUUGUAAAGCACUUUAAGUUGGGAGGAAGGGCAGUAAGUUAAUACCUUGCUGUUUGGACGUUACCAACAGAAUAAGCACCGGCGAACUUCGU